Molecule: ribosomal RNA, 554 nt
Filed under: Ceramius micheneri
Lineage: Eukaryota; Metazoa; Arthropoda; Insecta; Hymenoptera; Vespidae
Description: eukaryotic LSU rRNA
Rfam family: Eukaryotic large subunit ribosomal RNA
Source: RNAcentral
GACCAAGGAGUCUAACAUGUGCGCGAGUCAUUGGGACUCUGAAUAAUCCUAAAGGCGCAAUGAAAGUGAAGAAGGAAAGUGCGGUCGGCCAAGCGUCGACCGUGAAGGGGGAGGAUGGGCCGCGUCUCGACGCGGCUCCGCACUCCCGGGGCGUCUCGUUCUCAUCGCGAGAGGAGGCGCACCCAGAGCGUACACGUUGGGACCCGAAAGAUGGUGAACUAUGCCUGGUCAGGACGAAGUCAGGGGAAACCCUGAUGGAGGUCCGCAGCGAUUCUGACGUGCAAAUCGAUCGUCGGAACUGGGUAUAGGGGCGAAAGACUAAUCGAACCAUCUAGUAGCUGGUUCCCUCCGAAGUUUCCCUCAGGAUAGCUGGCACUCGAGGGAGGGAGUCUCAUCUGGUAAAGCGAAUGAUUAGAGGCCUUGGGGCCGAAACGACCUCAACCUAUUCUCAAACUUUAAAUGGGUGAGAUCUCUGGCUUGCUUGAACGGUGAAGCCACGAGAUAUACAUAUAUUAUAACGAAACACGGAUCAGAGUGCCAAGUGGGCCAAUUUU